GAAGGACUUACUCUUCGGAGUGAGAGCGUACACAGGUGCUGCAUGGCUGUCGUCAGCUCGUGUCGUGAGAUGUUGGGUUAAGUCCCGCAACGAGCGCAACCCUGCAUUCAGUUGCCAUCGGUAAGGCCGGGCACUCUGGAUGGACUGCCGGCGACAAGCCGGAGGAAGGUGGGGACGACGUCAAGUCAUCAUGGCCCUUAUGUCCAGGGCGACACACGUGCUACAAUGGCCGGCACAGCGGGAAGCGGAGGGGCGACCCUGAGCGGAUCCCUUGAAAGCCGGUCCCAGUUCGGAUUGCAGUCUGCAACUCGACUGCAUGAAGUUGGAAUCGCUAGUAAUCGCGGAUCAGCCAAGCCGCGGUGAAUACGUUCCCGGGCCUU
RNAcentral lists this ribosomal RNA (380 nucleotides) under uncultured Thermovirga sp. Its description in RNAcentral is "bacterial SSU rRNA". It matches the Rfam family "Bacterial small subunit ribosomal RNA", at positions 1005 to 1382 of the family's 1533-position model. The record is from RNAcentral. Lineage: Bacteria; Thermotogati; Synergistota; Synergistia; Synergistales; Thermovirgaceae.